AUGAAAUUGGAGUUUAAAUUCUUUUCUGUAGACAAUUCAUUCUUCCAGCCUACUGCUGGUAAUGGAUCAAUAAUGAUUAUUCUCCUAGGUUGGCAACCAGGACACCAGAGUGAAAGUGACAUUGGAAUUUAUGCUGGUUGGGGUGCAAAAGAAUGCACAACACUCCCGUUGAUGCACCAAGCUUCACGUUUUGGAGGGGCACCUCUUGCUCUUGGUGUCCUUAUUCGUGUAUUCCUGUACAAGUGUGAGUUACGUGCAAUAGCUUGUGGCCCUUUACAGAGUAGGAUGCCCCUUGGCGCUGUGACAAAAGCAAGGCCAGACUUGUUCUUGGCUCUGUAUGUUGUGGGGGUUCUCUGA
RNAcentral lists this ribosomal RNA (357 nucleotides) under Triticum aestivum (bread wheat). RNAcentral describes it as "partial small subunit ribosomal RNA". Lineage: Eukaryota; Viridiplantae; Streptophyta; Magnoliopsida; Poales; Poaceae. The record is from RNAcentral.